UGGGGAAUUUUGCACAAUGGGGGAAACCCUGAUGCAGCGACGCCGCGUGAUUUAGAAGGCCUUCGGGUUGUAAAAAUCUUUUCUAUGGGAAGAAAAUGACAGUACCAUAGGAAUAAGGACCGGCUAAUUACGUGCCAGCAGCCGCGGUAAUACGUAAGGUCCGAGCGUUGUCCGGAAUCAUUGGGCGUAAAGGGUACGUAGGCGGAUAAGCAAGUUAGAAGUGAAAUCCUAUAGCUCAACUAUAGUAAGCUUUUAAAACUGCUCAUCUUGAGGUAUGGAAGGGAAAGUGGAAUUCCUAGUGUAGCGGUGAAAUGCGCAGAUAUUAGGAGGAAUACCGGUGGCGAAGGCGACUUUCUGGCCAUAAACUGACGCUGAGGUACGAAAGCGUGGGUAGCAAACAGG
Molecule: ribosomal RNA, 402 nt
Filed under: Verrucomicrobiota bacterium
Lineage: Bacteria; Pseudomonadati; Verrucomicrobiota
Description: Verrucomicrobia bacterium partial 16S ribosomal RNA
Rfam family: Bacterial small subunit ribosomal RNA
Source: RNAcentral